AUGAGUAACACCACCCUAUCUAUCUGUUCGUGGAAUGUACGAGGUCUUGGUGAUGUGUCAAAAUGCGCUGAUAUCCUCUCCGAACUUAUCAGCAUUAACCCACACUGCGCCCUCCUACAGGAAUCAAAGCUAAAUGACAUUACUGAACAAAAAUUACGAUCCUUCCUACCUCGCUCUCUAGACCAAAAUGUGUUUUUACCGGCCGACGGCUCGGCUGGUGGAACAGUCUCAGCUUUCAACUCAAACUACUUCUCAGUGCUCUCCCACACGCACAACAACUUCACCACAUCGAUCAAACUCACGUCCCUUGCGCACCCACAACCCUUUAUCAUCACAAACGUCUAUGCUCCCGCAACUCGCAACCUCAAACAAGCUUUUCUCGAUGAACUCAGAACGAUAAAACAAGACGAUCACACGCCCUGGCUAAUAGUAGGAGACUUCAACCUUGUACGUUUUUCGCAUGAAAAAAAUAACCACAACUUUCGCCAACGAGAAGCAGAUGCUUUUAACAGCAUGAUCAAUGAGCUAGCCCUACUCGAACUCGCACUGCUCGACCGACGCUUCACUUGGUCUAACAAACGCUCUGUGCCAACCUUAGAACGACUUGACCGGGCGUUCUUUAAUCUGUCAUGGAAUAAUUACUUCCCUAACACAACACUGUCCUCACUGCCACGUAUCACAUCCGAUCACGUACCCCUAAUCCUA
RNAcentral lists this ribosomal RNA (705 nucleotides) under Triticum aestivum (bread wheat). RNAcentral's name for it is "partial small subunit ribosomal RNA". Lineage: Eukaryota; Viridiplantae; Streptophyta; Magnoliopsida; Poales; Poaceae. The record is from RNAcentral.